Molecule: ribosomal RNA, 486 nt
Filed under: uncultured bacterium
Lineage: Bacteria
Description: bacterial SSU rRNA
Rfam family: Bacterial small subunit ribosomal RNA
Source: RNAcentral
GAUGAACGCUAGCGGCAGGCCUAACACAUGCAAGUCGAGGGGCAUCAUGGCGUAGCAAUACGCUGAUGGCGACCGGCGCACGGGUGCGUAACGCGUAUGGAACCUACCCACCGCAGGGGGAUAACCCGCCGAAAGGCGGACUAAUACCCCAUGGUUCCCCGACCCUGCCUGGGGUUGGGGGUAAAGCCUACGGGCGGCGGUGGAUGGCCCUGCGUGCCAUUAGCUGGCUGGUGGGUAACGGCCCACCAGGGCGACGAUGGCUAGGGGGUCUGAGAGGACGAUCCCCCACACUGGUACUGAGACACGGACCAGACUCCUACGGGAGGCAGCAGUGAGGAAUAUUGGUCAAUGGGCGGAAGCCUGAACCAGCCAUGCCGCGUGCAGGAUGACGGCCCUACGGGUUGUAAACUGCUUUUCCACGGGAAGAACCCUCCGACGUGUCGGAGACUGACGGUACCGUGGGAAUAAGCAUCGGCUAACUCCGUG